Molecule: ribosomal RNA, 404 nt
Filed under: uncultured bacterium
Lineage: Bacteria
Also listed under: 1 other name
Description: bacterial SSU rRNA
Rfam family: Bacterial small subunit ribosomal RNA
Source: RNAcentral
UGGGGAAUAUUGCACAAUGGGGGGAACCCUGAUGCAGCGACGCCGCGUGAGGGAAGAAGGUUUUCGGAUUGUAAACCUCUGUCUUGUGGGACGAUAAUGACGGUACCACAGGAGGAAGCCAUGGCUAACUACGUGCCAGCAGCCGCGGUAAUACGUAGAUGGCGAGCGUUGUCCGGAAUUACUGGGUGUAAAGGGAGUGUAGGCGGGAUCAUAAGUUGCGUGUGAAAUGCAGGGGCUCAACCCCUGAACUGCGCGCAAAACUGUGGUUCUUGAGUGAAGUAGAGGCAGGCGGAAUUCCCGGUGUAGCGGUGGAAUGCGUAGAUAUCGGGAGGAACACCAGUGGCGAAGGCGGCCUGCUGGGCUUUUACUGACGCUGAGGCUCGAAAGCAUGGGGAGCAAACAGG